This 2517-nucleotide ribosomal RNA is filed under the name Escherichia coli. Its description in RNAcentral is "partial 23S ribosomal RNA". It matches the Rfam family "Bacterial large subunit ribosomal RNA", at positions 418 to 2915 of the family's 2925-position model. The record is from RNAcentral. Lineage: Bacteria; Pseudomonadati; Pseudomonadota; Gammaproteobacteria; Enterobacterales; Enterobacteriaceae.
CGGGACACGUGGUAUCCUGUCUGAAUAUGGGGGGACCAUCCUCCAAGGCUAAAUACUCCUGACUGACCGAUAGUGAACCAGUACCGUGAGGGAAAGGCGAAAAGAACCCCGGCGAGGGGAGUGAAAAAGAACCUGAAACCGUGUACGUACAAGCAGUGGGAGCACGCUUAGGCGUGUGACUGCGUACCUUUUGUAUAAUGGGUCAGCGACUUAUAUUCUGUAGCAAGGUUAACCGAAUAGGGGAGCCGAAGGGAAACCGAGUCUUAACUGGGCGUUAAGUUGCAGGGUAUAGACCCGAAACCCGGUGAUCUAGCCAUGGGCAGGUUGAAGGUUGGGUAACACUAACUGGAGGACCGAACCGACUAAUGUUGAAAAAUUAGCGGAUGACUUGUGGCUGGGGGUGAAAGGCCAAUCAAACCGGGAGAUAGCUGGUUCUCCCCGAAAGCUAUUUAGGUAGCGCCUCGUGAAUUCAUCUCCGGGGGUAGAGCACUGUUUCGGCAAGGGGGUCAUCCCGACUUACCAACCCGAUGCAAACUGCGAAUACCGGAGAAUGUUAUCACGGGAGACACACGGCGGGUGCUAACGUCCGUCGUGAAGAGGGAAACAACCCAGACCGCCAGCUAAGGUCCCAAAGUCAUGGUUAAGUGGGAAACGAUGUGGGAAGGCCCAGACAGCCAGGAUGUUGGCUUAGAAGCAGCCAUCAUUUAAAGAAAGCGUAAUAGCUCACUGGUCGAGUCGGCCUGCGCGGAAGAUGUAACGGGGCUAAACCAUGCACCGAAGCUGCGGCAGCGACGCUGAUGCGUUGUUGGGUAGGGGAGCGUUCUGUAAGCCUGCGAAGGUGUGCUGUGAGGCAUGCUGGAGGUAUCAGAAGUGCGAAUGCUGACAUAAGUAACGAUAAAGCGGGUGAAAAGCCCGCUCGCCGGAAGACCAAGGGUUCCUGUCCAACGUUAAUCGGGGCAGGGUGAGUCGACCCCUAAGGCGAGGCCGAAAGGCGUAGUCGAUGGGAAACAGGUUAAUAUUCCUGUACUUGGUGUUACUGCGAAGGGGGGACGGAGAAGGCUAUGUUGGCCGGGCGACGGUUGUCCCGGUUUAAGCGUGUAGGCUGGUUUUCCAGGCAAAUCCGGAAAAUCAAGGCUGAGGCGUGAUGACGAGGCACUACGGUGCUGAAGCAACAAAUGCCCUGCUUCCAGGAAAAGCCUCUAAGCAUCAGGUAACAUCAAAUCGUACCCCAAACCGACACAGGUGGUCAGGUAGAGAAUACCAAGGCGCUUGAGAGAACUCGGGUGAAGGAACUAGGCAAAAUGGUGCCGUAACUUCGGGAGAAGGCACGCUGAUAUGUAGGUGAAGUCCCUCGCGGAUGGAGCUGAAAUCAGUCGAAGAUACCAGCUGGCUGCAACUGUUUAUUAAAAACACAGCACUGUGCAAACACGAAAGUGGACGUAUACGGUGUGACGCCUGCCCGGUGCCGGAAGGUUAAUUGAUGGGGUUAGCGCAAGCGAAGCUCUUGAUCGAAGCCCCGGUAAACGGCGGCCGUAACUAUAACGGUCCUAAGGUAGCGAAAUUCCUUGUCGGGUAAGUUCCGACCUGCACGAAUGGCGUAAUGAUGGCCAGGCUGUCUCCACCCGAGACUCAGUGAAAUUGAACUCGCUGUGAAGAUGCAGUGUACCCGCGGCAAGACGGAAAGACCCCGUGAACCUUUACUAUAGCUUGACACUGAACAUUGAGCCUUGAUGUGUAGGAUAGGUGGGAGGCUUUGAAGUGUGGACGCCAGUCUGCAUGGAGCCGACCUUGAAAUACCACCCUUUAAUGUUUGAUGUUCUAACGUUGACCCGUAAUCCGGGUUGCGGACAGUGUCUGGUGGGUAGUUUGACUGGGGCGGUCUCCUCCUAAAGAGUAACGGAGGAGCACGAAGGUUGGCUAAUCCUGGUCGGACAUCAGGAGGUUAGUGCAAUGGCAUAAGCCAGCUUGACUGCGAGCGUGACGGCGCGAGCAGGUGCGAAAGCAGGUCAUAGUGAUCCGGUGGUUCUGAAUGGAAGGGCCAUCGCUCAACGGAUAAAAGGUACUCCGGGGAUAACAGGCUGAUACCGCCCAAGAGUUCAUAUCGACGGCGGUGUUUGGCACCUCGAUGUCGGCUCAUCACAUCCUGGGGCUGAAGUAGGUCCCAAGGGUAUGGCUGUUCGCCAUUUAAAGUGGUACGCGAGCUGGGUUUAGAACGUCGUGAGACAGUUCGGUCCCUAUCUGCCGUGGGCGCUGGAGAACUGAGGGGGGCUGCUCCUAGUACGAGAGGACCGGAGUGGACGCAUCACUGGUGUUCGGGUUGUCAUGCCAAUGGCACUGCCCGGUAGCUAAAUGCGGAAGAGAUAAGUGCUGAAAGCAUCUAAGCACGAAACUUGCCCCGAGAUGAGUUCUCCCUGACUCCUUGAGAGUCCUGAAGGAACGUUGAAGACGACGACGUUGAUAGGCCGGGUGUGUAAGCGCAGCGAUGCGUUGAGCUAACCGGUACUAAUGAACCGUGAG